CCUACGGGGGGCAGCAGUGAGGAAUAUUGGUCAAUGGACGAGAGUCUGAACCAGCGAAGUAGCGUGAAGGAUGACUGCUCUAUGGGUUGUAAACUUCUUUUAUAUGGGAAUAAAAUGUUCCACGUGUGGGAUUUUGUAUGUACAAUAUGAAUAAGGAUCGGCUAACUCCGUGCAAGCAGCCGCGGUAAUACGGAGGAGCCGAGCGUUAUCCGGAUUUAUUGGGUUUAAAGGGCGCGUAGGUGGAUUGUUAAGUCAGUUGUGAAAGUUUGCGGCUCAACCGUAAAAUUGCAUUUGAAACUGGGAGUCUUGAGUAAAGUAGAGGUAGGCGGAAUUCGUGGUGUAGCGGUGAAAUGCUUAGAUAUCACGAAGAACUCCGAUUGCGAAGGCAGCUCACUGGACUGCAACUGACACUGAGGCUCGAAAGUGUGGGUAUCAAACAGGAUUAGAUACCCUUGUAGUC
RNAcentral lists this ribosomal RNA (460 nucleotides) under uncultured bacterium. RNAcentral's name for it is "partial 16S ribosomal RNA". It matches the Rfam family "Bacterial small subunit ribosomal RNA", at positions 338 to 795 of the family's 1533-position model. The record is from RNAcentral.